This 384-nucleotide ribosomal RNA is filed under the name uncultured bacterium. RNAcentral describes it as "bacterial SSU rRNA". It matches the Rfam family "Bacterial small subunit ribosomal RNA", at positions 29 to 412 of the family's 1533-position model. The record is from RNAcentral.
AUUGAACGCUGGCGGCAUGCCUUACACAUGCAAGUCGAGCGGCAGCGCGGGGGCAACCCUGGCGGCGAGCGGCGGACGGGUGAGUAAUGCAUCGGAACGUGUCCUCUUGUGGGGGAUAACCAGUCGAAAGACUGGCUAAUACCGCAUGAGCUCGUAAGAGGAAAGCGACGGGGACCCGCAAGGGCCUUGCGCGAGAGGAGCGGCCGAUGCCCGAUUAGCAGUUGGCGGGGUAAAGCCCACCAAGGCGACGAUCGGUAGCUGGUCUGAGAGGACGACCAGCCACACUGGGACUGAGACACGGCCCAGACUCCUACGGGAGGCAGCAGUGGGGAAUUUUGGACAAGUGGGGAAACCCUGAUCCAGCCAUGCCGCGUGUGUGAAGAA